GGAAGGAUCAUUACUGAACAGAGAGGGGGUGGGGGAAGAUCUGAGGGACUGAGGGACUGUCGCUGGUGCUCUUGAUCGAGCACAUGUGCACGUCCUCUUGUCCUGACAUCGACCUCUGUCUCAUCUUCACACACCUGUGCACUUUUUGUAGGUCCUCGAAAGAGGAUCUAUGUCUUUAUCACAUCACACCCGUUGUAUGUCUAGAAUGAAUACACCAUGUAUUCGUAGACCCGUCGGAAGGCGGGAUCAGUCGAUAUAUGAUAACCAAUUACAACUUUCAGCAAUGGAUCUCUUGGCUCUCGCAUCGAUGACGAACGCAGCGAAUUGCGAUAAGUAAUGUGAAUUGCAGAUUUCCAGUGAAUCAUCGAAUCUUUGAACGCACCUUGCGCUCCUUGGUAUUCCGAGGAGCAUGCCUGUUUGAGUGUCAUUUAAUUAUCAACCAUGUUCUUGAUCGGACAUGGCUUGGACGUGGGUGCUGCUGGCUGCGAAAGUGGUCGGCUCUCCUUAAAUGAAUUAGCAAAAGGGGUGUGCCAUGGUCCUAUAGGACGUGCAACGGCCUUCGACGUGAUAAUGAUCGUCGUGGCUGGAGUGGUCCAUGUUUUGGAGCAUGCACAAGUAGCCUGUUUUGCUCCUAAUCCUAGAUCUUCUGGUAUCUGGCUGUCUGAGGCACUGCUGGCUACUGGCUACUAGCUUACUAGCUUACUAGCUCAUUAGUCUGAUGAGACGAACGGCGAACAGAGUGAACGGCGAACGCAGUUGAAGGGCUGAUGACAGAAGGAAAGUCAGAGCUUGAGAUCACAUUAUAUUGACUUGACCUCAAAUCAGGUAGGACUACCCGCUGAACUUAAGCAUAUCAAUAAGCGGAGGAAAAGAAACUAACAAGGAUUCCCCUAGUAACUGCGAGUGAAGCGGGAAAAGCUCAAAUUUUGAAUCUGGCGGUCGAUAGGCCGUCCGAGUUGUAAUCUAGAGAAGCGUCUUCCGCGCUGGACCGUGUACAAGUCUCCUGGAAGGGAGCGUCAUAGAGGGUGAGAAUCCCGUCUUUGACACGGACUGCCAGGGCUAUGUGAUGCGCUCUCGACGAGUCGAGUUGUUUGGGAAUGCAGCUCAAAAUGGGUGGUAAAUUCCAUCUAAAGCUAAAUACAGGCGAGAGACCGAUAGCGAACAAGUACCGUGAGGGAAAGAUGAAAAGAACUUUGGAAAGAGAGUUAAACAGUACGUGAAAUUGCUGAAAGGGAAACGCUUGAUGUCAGUCGCGUUGGCUGGGGAUCAACCUUGCUUCUCGCUGGGUGCACUUCCUGGCUGACGGGUCAGCAUCAGUUUCGAUCGCCGUACAAUGGUCAAGGGAAUGUGGCACUCUUCGGAGUGUGUUAUAGCCCAUGGUCGGAUGCGGUAAUGGGGACUGAGGAACUCGGCACGACCUCGAGUUUGUGUCUAGGAUGCUGGCAUAAUGGCCUUAAGCGACCCGUCUUGAAACACGGACCAAGGAGUCUAACAUGCCUGCGAGUGUUUGGGUGGGAAACCCUUGCGCGAAAUGAAAGUGAAAGUCGAGACCUCUGUCAUGGAGGGCACCGACGCCCGGACCUGAGUCUUUGACAAAGGAUCUGCGGUAGAGCAUGCAUGUUGGGACCCGAAAGAUGGUGAACUAUGCCUGAAUAGGGUGAAGCCAGAGGAAACUCUGGUGGAGGCUCGUAGCGAUUCUGACGUGCAAAUCGAUCGUCGAAUUUGGGUAUAGGGGCGAAAGACUAAUCGAACCAUCUAGUAGCUGGUUCCUGC
RNAcentral lists this unclassified non-coding RNA (1773 nucleotides) under uncultured fungus. Its description in RNAcentral is "sequence contains 18S rRNA gene, ITS1, 5.8S rRNA gene, ITS2, 28S rRNA gene". The stretch from base 812 to 1773 matches the Rfam family "Eukaryotic large subunit ribosomal RNA", at positions 1 to 961 of the family's 3401-position model. The record is from RNAcentral. Lineage: Eukaryota; Fungi.